UGACCUCGGAUCAGGUAGGGAUACCCGCUGAACUUAAGCAUAUCAAUAAGCGGAGGAAAAGAAACCAACAGGGAUUGCCUCAGUAACGGCGAGUGAAGCGGCAAGAGCUCAAAUUUGAAAUCUGGUCCUUUCAGGGCCCGAGUUGUAAUUUGCAGAGGAUGCUUUGGGUGCGGCCGCGGCGUAAGUCCCCUGGAACGGGGCGUCGCAGAGGGUGAGAAUCCCGUCUUGAGUCGCCGGUUCGCGCCCGUGUAAAGCUCCUUCGACGAGUCGAGUUGUUUGGGAAUGCAGCUCUAAAUGGGUGGUAAAUUUCAUCUAAAGCUAAAUAUUGGCUGGAGACCGAUAGCGCACAAGUAGAGUGAUCGAAAGGUUAAAAGCACCUUGAAAAGGGAGUUAAAUAGCACGUGAAAUUGUUGAAAGGGAAGCGCUUGCAACCAGACUCGGCCGCUGGGGUUCAAUGAGCACGUGUGCUCAUGCAUUCCCUAGUGGUCGGGCCAGCAUCAGUUCUGGCGACCGGUCAAAGGCCCCUGGAAUGUGUCGUCCUCCGGGACGUCUUAUAGCCAGGGGUGCAAUGCGGCCAGCCGGGACUGAGGAACGCACUUCGGUACGGAUGCUGGCGUAAUGGUUGUAAG
This 629-nucleotide ribosomal RNA is filed under the name Gymnoascus dugwayensis. Its description in RNAcentral is "eukaryotic LSU rRNA". It matches the Rfam family "Eukaryotic large subunit ribosomal RNA", at positions 1 to 644 of the family's 3401-position model. Lineage: Eukaryota; Fungi; Ascomycota; Eurotiomycetes; Onygenales; Gymnoascaceae. The record is from RNAcentral.